This 459-nucleotide ribosomal RNA is filed under the name uncultured bacterium. Its description in RNAcentral is "partial 16S ribosomal RNA". It matches the Rfam family "Bacterial small subunit ribosomal RNA", at positions 338 to 795 of the family's 1533-position model. The record is from RNAcentral.
CCUACGGGAGGCAGCAGUGAGGAAUAUUGGUCAAUGGACGGAAGGCUGAACCAGCCAAGCCGCGUGAAGGACGAAGGUGCCACGCAUUGUAAACUUCUUUUGUCAAGGGACAAAAUCAGGCUCGAGAGCCUGACCGAGGGUGCUUGAAGAAAAAGCAUCUGCUAACUCCGUGCCAGCGGCCGCGGUAAUACGGAGGAUGCGGGCGUUAUCCGGUUUUAUUGGGUUUAAGGGGGGCGUCGGCGGACUGUUAAGUCAGCGGUAAAAGCCCGGGGCCCACCCCCGGCGAGCCGUUGAAACUGGCUGUCUGGAGAUGUCGAAGGGAAGGCGGAAUGCGCAGUGUAGCGGUGAAAUGCUUAGAUAUUGUGCAGAACUCCGAUCGCGAAGGCAGGAUACCGGCGGCGAUCUGACGCUGAGGCACGAAAGCGUGGGUAUCGAACAGGAUUAGAUACCCGGGUAGUC